UACAGAGGGUGCAAGCGUUGUUCGGAAUUAUUGGGCGUAAAGGGCGCGUAGGCGGUGCGGUAAGUCUGUAGUGAAAGCUCGCAGCUUAACUGCGAAACUGCCAUUGAAACUGUCAAGCUUGAAUGUGGUUGAAGUGGGCGGAAUACAACAUGUAGCGGUGAAAUGCUUAGAUAUGUUUUAGAACACCGAUUGCGAAGGCAGCUCACUAAGCCAAUAUUGACGCUGAGGCACGAAAGCGUGGGUAGCGAACAGG
Molecule: ribosomal RNA, 253 nt
Filed under: uncultured bacterium
Lineage: Bacteria
Description: partial 16S ribosomal RNA
Rfam family: Bacterial small subunit ribosomal RNA
Source: RNAcentral